UACGGGAGGCAGCAGGGGGGAAUAUUGCACAAUGGGCGCAAGCCUGAUGCAGCCAUGCCGCGUGUAUGAAGAAGGCCUUCGGGUUGUAAAGUACUUUCAGUCGUGAGGAAGGUGUUAAGGUUAAUAACCUUAGCAAUUGACGUUAGCGACAGAAGAAGCACCGGCUAACUCCGUGCCAGCAGCCGCGGUAAUACGGAGGGUGCGAGCGUUAAUCGGAAUUACUGGGCGUAAAGGGCACGCAGGCGGUUAAUUAAGUUGGAUGUGAAAUCCCCGGGCUUAACCUGGGAAUGGCAUUCAAGACUGGUUAGCUAGAGUCUUGUAGAGGGGGUAGAAUUCCAUGUGUAGCGGUGAAAUGCGUAGAGAUGUGGAGGAAUACCGGUGGCGAAGGCGGCCCCUGGACAAAGCUGGGCGCUCAUGUGCGAAAGCGUGGGGAGCAAACG
Molecule: ribosomal RNA, 440 nt
Filed under: uncultured bacterium
Lineage: Bacteria
Description: bacterial SSU rRNA
Rfam family: Bacterial small subunit ribosomal RNA
Source: RNAcentral